GUGAAGAACGCAGCGAAAUGCGAUAUGUAAUGUGAAUUGCAGAAUUCAGUGAAUCAUCGAAUCUUUGAACGCACAUGGCGCCUUCCAGUAUCCUGGGAGGCAUGCCUGUCCGAGCGUCGUUUCAACCCUCGAGCCCCCGUGGCCCGGCGUUGGGGAUCUGCCCAGGCAGUCCCCGAAAACCAGUGGCGGACCCGUUACAGGCCCUUCCCUUGCGUAUUAGCAUUCGCCUCGCAUCGGGAGCCGGCGGGCUUCCAGCCUCUAAACCCCCAUCAAGUCCGCCCCGGCGGCACCAAGGUUGACCUCGGAUCAGGUAGGAAUACCCGCUGAACUUAAGCAUAUCAAUAAGCGGAGGA
RNAcentral lists this unclassified non-coding RNA (353 nucleotides) under soil metagenome. RNAcentral describes it as "partial contains 5.8S ribosomal RNA, internal transcribed spacer 2, and large subunit ribosomal RNA". The stretch from base 2 to 119 matches the Rfam family "5.8S ribosomal RNA", at positions 37 to 154 of the family's 154-position model. The record is from RNAcentral.